RNAcentral lists this ribosomal RNA (478 nucleotides) under uncultured bacterium. Its description in RNAcentral is "partial 16S ribosomal RNA". It matches the Rfam family "Bacterial small subunit ribosomal RNA", at positions 28 to 523 of the family's 1533-position model. The record is from RNAcentral.
GACGAACGCUGGCGGCGUGCUUAACACAUGCAAGUCGAACGGUAAGGCCCUGCGGGGUACACGAGUGGCGAACGGGUGAGUAACACGUGGGUGAUCUGCCCUGCACUUCGGGAUAAGCCUGGGAAACUGGGUCUAAUACCGGAUAGGACCACUGCCUGCAUGGGUGGUGGUGGAAAGCUUUUGCGGUGUGGGAUGGGCCCGCGGCCUAUCAGCUUGUUGGUGGGGGGAUGGCCUACCAAGGCGACGACGGGUAGCCGGCCUGGGAGGGGGGCCGGCCACACUGGGACUGAGAUACGGCACAGACUCCUACGGGAGGCAGCAGUGGGGAAUAUUGCACAAUGGGCGCAAGCCUGAUGCAGCGACGCCGCGUGAGGGAUGACGGCCUUCGGGUUGUAAACCUCUUUCAGCACCGACGAAGCGCAAGUGACGGUAGGUGCAGAAGAAGGACCGGCCAACUACGUGCCAGCCGCCGCCGUAA